RNAcentral lists this long non-coding RNA (394 nucleotides) under Oryzias sinensis (Chinese medaka). Its description in RNAcentral is "lncRNA (ENSOSIG00000019512.1)". Lineage: Eukaryota; Metazoa; Chordata; Actinopteri; Beloniformes; Adrianichthyidae. The record is from RNAcentral.
UGUGUGGUAUUUGAGUUGUCAACUGUCUGUUACGUCAGAGUCUUUGACUCGAAACACUUUUUCAGAAGUUUUGGCAGAUUGGAGGGUUACAUAGUUCUGCUGACGGAAGCAAACUCUGUGAGGGAGCACUGCAUCACAUUUGCAUUCGGAGACAAAUCACCUUUACUAUAAAUAUGCAAACUACAUUUCACAGGCCGACCUCCGUCGUUCUCCUUCUGGUUCUUCACUUCAGAGCGGUCUGGGGUUAGCCACCAUCAGUAUCUGGGCUCUGGGGUCUCGUCACAUGGUCCAAGGUCAUCCCAAGCUUACAAGAUGCUAACUGCCAAAGACAAUGGGCAAUUUCGUGCUCAAAUUCCUGUUUUACUAUUAUAUCUUUCAAUCACACUUUCAAAAU